GAUUCCCCACCUAGAAUGGGAUAUCAAAAAAUCACUUAUUAUGAGCUUCUCCAAGCUACAGAAAAUUUCAGUCAGUCCAACCUAGUAGGAAGUGGAAGUUCCGGUACAGUCUACCGAGGUACAUUUGCUAGCGGUACUGUCUUUGCAAUCAAAGUUUUCAAUAUGCAACGGCAAGGGGGUUUAAGAAAUUUUGAGCAAUGUAAGACACAGGAACUUGGUCAAGAUAGUGUCAACUUGCUCAAAUGUUGGAUUUCACAGCAAUGGUGUUGGAGUACAUGCCUAAUGGAAGCUUAAACAAGAAAUUAUACUCCGAAAAAAAUUGCUUGCACCUGGUUGAAAGACUCAAUAUAAUGAUCGACAUACCACUGGCCAUGGAGUAUCUUCAUCAUGAUUAUACAGUGCCUGUCAUGCACUGUGAUCUGAAGCCAGCUAAUGUGCUUCUUGAUCAGGAUCUUACUGCUCAUGUAGCAGAUGUUGGAAUUGCAAAAAUGCUGGCACAAGAAGGAAACAUUGCUCAAACCAAAACACUCGGAACUAUUGGUUAUAUUGCUCCAGGUAUGGUAAUGUCUUGAACUGCAGGUGUCCUACGCUGGUUUCUUUUUUCCUUUACGUCUACCGUAACGUUGAUUUUCAUACCCUCUGUAGUAAUCGAUUUCUCAUGGGAAAUUCGCAUAGGCAAGAAACUUCUACUUUUAUAACAGUGACAGUGCAACAUUUUGUACUAUAACAUGGGUAACUACACAUUCAAGUACCAAAGAACACAACCUAUUGUUGUAAGAAUAGUAACCAAAUAAGUUCCAAUCAUUUCUUCCUGGCAUAUAUCUAUCACAUUUUAACUAGGAGUUUAUUGCAACAGAAUAUGGCUUAGAUGGACAAGUCUCCACCAGCAGUGAUGUUUAUAGCUUUGGGAUUUUGUUGCUUGAGACAUUCACAAGAAAGAAGACUACCAAUGACAAGUUCAGAGGAAACUUAAGCUUGCAUAAAUGGGUAUGUCUCUCCUUUCCUGAUGCUGUACUGGACAUUUUGGACGCUGACCUUGUUAGUGACAUUGGCUUUAGAAGAGUUACAGUUGAUGAAAACCAAAGCCAAAUCAAACAGUUGCUGGUUUUGAUCAUAAAUGUGGCAUUCCUAUGUUUGAAAGAGUUACCAGAGGAAAGGAUAAACAUGAGAGAGGUUGUGGUGCAGCUAAAGAAGAUAAGAGCCGAAUUAACCAAUCUUGACUCAUAUAGAAUAUGAGAAAGAGGACUGAUACAGCAACAAGAAGAUUCAGUUUUUCGAUUUCCUGCAUAUGCAUAUACUAGCUAUCUGGACUAUUUCCCCACAUUGCUCAUCUUUUUAAGGGCUAUCAUGGAAAUUCUACAUUUGAAAAUUCUUGUUAAAAGUUGCUUUAAGGAAUAAUGCACGCAAUUUAUUUUUGACUUUCUUUUUUUUUUUUUUUUACAUACAACUCAUAGUCAAAUUAGAUUCCUAUUUGUGGUAGGAGAUUGAUUAGUUAUUAUUUUUUGUAGCAAAUAGGUUUUCUUUUAUGGUAAAUUUAAUCUAUUUUUAGUUGUAAUAGCACUAUUUAAGAAGGAGUUGAUGAUCAAUAAAAUACAGAGCUUUACAAAAAAAAAAAACUCUCUGCGUUCUUCUCUAACUCAUGUCUAUUAAAACCAACAAUUGGUAUCUAGAGCCAUUUUUCUUGAGGAACCUGUGAAUGAAGAGAUGGAUUCUGAAAAUAGUUUUUCACGAAUGACUCCAUCCAUUUUUUAUGGUGAAAAUUAUCAAUUAUGAAUUGUGAGAAUGAAAACUUCCUCGGAGGCUUUUGAUAUAUUGGAAGUUGUGGAAGAGGAUUAUGAAAGUAAUUCGCUGCCAAAUAAUUCCACUAUAGCCCAAAUCAAGAGUCACAAAGAAAAGAAAAUCACGAAGUCCAUGGCGAAGGCAACUCUGUUUGUAGUUUACAAGAAUUAUGUCUCUCAUAUCACCAAAAGAAAUUUGGGAUUAUAUGAAGAAAGAAUAUGCUGGAGAUGAAAGAAUUCAAGGAAUGCAAGUACUGAAUUUAAUAAGAGAGUUUGAGUUGCAAAGAAUGAAAGACUCCGAGACAGUCAAAGAGUAUUCGGACAGAUUACUUGGCAUUGUUAACAAGGUAAGAUUACUAGGCACUGAAUUUAAAGAUUCAAGAAUUGUUGAAAAAAUUCUUGUUACAGUGCCCGAAAGGUAUGAAGCAUGUAUAACUACCUUGGAAAAUACACAAGAUUUGUCCAAAAUUACCUUGGCAGAGUUGUUAAAUUCUUUUCGGGAACUGAAACAAAGAAAACUUAUGAGGCUGGUUAUCAUGGUUGAAGGAACCUUAAUAGCCAACCACAAAACUCAAAGAAUGGGUAAAAAUAUAAAAAAAAUCACCCACCUUGUGAGCACUGUGGAAAAAUUGUUCAUCUGAGUCAUCCACCAUAUAGAUGUUGGAAAAGGCCAGACGCGAAGUGCAACAAGUGCAAUCAACUUGGCCAUGAAGCAGUUAUUUGCAAAAGAAAAUUUGAAAACCAUGAAGCAGAUGAACGUGUGGUCAAUGAAGAAGAAGAAGAAAAAAAAGAAGACAAUCUGUUUGUUGUAACAUGUAUCUCAAGUAAGGUUUCAACAAAUUUUUUGUUGAUUGAUAGCGGUUGCACCAACCACAUGACUUAUAACAAGAGUUUGUUUAAAGAAUUAAAGCCUGUUGAAAUAUCCAAAGUUAGGAUCGAAAAUGAUGAUCAGAUUUUUGUUGAUGGAAAAGAAACUGUUGUCUUUAAAACAAGUUCAGGUAAUAAAGCAAUUUCAGAUGUUCUUUAUGCACCUGAUAUUGAUCAAAUCUUGUUGAGUAUUUGUCAGUUGGUAGAAAAGGGAUACAAAGUAUUCUUUGAAGAUAAACAUUACUUCAUCAAUGAUGGUGUUGGAAAAGAAAUUUUAAACAUUAAGAUGAGAGGUAAACAUUUCGAACAUUUCUCAUUUAAUCUAAUGGAAGAUGUUUCUGUAGAACAUGUAAAAGAUCAUAGGAUGAAAAAAUUAGAAGAUAAUCCUCUAAUUGAAAAAGCACAAGCAAUAUGUGAACCUCUUAGGUUUAAAGGAGAUUUCAAUGUUUCUAAAGGAAUUAAGCAAUAAAGAGUAUCUAUGUUUCAGAAAAAUAAAAUGGGUAAAUUCAAAUUCAAGAUGCAAACAAAGAAUGAAGACACGCCAAAAGGAUUUAUUAGUCAAGGGUUGCGUUCAAGACGAGAAGUGAAUUUAGUUCAUUACAGGCCAAAAGAUGAAUCUGCAGAUUUAUUCACAAGGAAACUUUCGGUUAUCAAGUGUGGAGAUCCCAAGACAGAAAAUCAAAAUUUUGCAGUUUCUAAAGCAAGGAGGAGUGUUAAAAGUUGCUUUAAGGAAUAAUGCACCCAAUUUUAUUUUUUUUUAUUUUUAUUUUUUUUUACAUACAACUCCUAGUCAAAUUGGGAUUCUUAUUUGUUGUAGGAUACUGAUUAGUUAUUAUUUUUGGCAGCGAAUAGUUUUCUUUUAUGGUAAAUUUAAUCUAUUUUUAGUUAUAACAAUACUAUUUAAAAAGGAGUUGAUGAUCAAUAAAAUAGAGAACGUUUACAAAAAGAACUCUUUGUAUUCUUCUCUAACUCAUUUCUAUUAAACGAACACUUAUCCUAAGUUCUUAAAGUGAAUAGUUUUCGUGGUGUAUAUUAAUUCACAUCAAAUGUAGUCCUACAAGUCUUUUCUAUAUGAAUCCAUUUAAUAUCCAACUAUCUCAUUCCACUGCCAAAGGAGUGAUUCGUUCGGUUCCUCUUCAUGUUAAGCCAAGUAUUAACCUGUUUCUAACAUUUGUCAAAUUUUCUUAUCGUUCAGUUGAUUAUGCUUCAUUUUGUACUCAAUGACAUCAGCACCUGCACCAAACUUCAUAAAUAUUACACAAUAAGAAGCAAGAACUGAAGUCAUCUCAGGACACGGUUCUCUUAAUCUCCAUCUAUAAUUUUUUUCUCUUACCACUAAAACUCGAGUCUAAUUCUAUGUAAGAAACCUAUUUUACCUGGCGGGGGACCUACAAUUGCAGGAGGUGCACCACUUCCUCUCUAGAAUUGUGGCUAAAAAUAGUUAAGGACUGGACCUAGAAGUAGUUCAAAAUUCCAUCAAUGAAUCUUUUAUUGCGAUAAGACGAUUAGCCAGCAGUGAGAAGGGAUAUUUCGCUUCACGUAUAUUGGUUCUUAGACUUUAUCCUAGACUUGAUAGCUAAGUUAAUGUAGAAGCUGUUAGAACAUGCACAGCGGAAGCAACAUUUCUACGAGAUCAAUAACUUACAUAAUAUCUAGAUAACAUAAUCAAAACGAGAAUCAGAAAACUUACUUUUUAAAGCUUUCACAAAAUUCGCUCAACACUUUAUUUUUUAUGACUGCGAUCUUCUACCAAAAUCGAAUUAACUUUUUUCAAUCAACACUUGAGUGGCAAGUUAUUAUUUUUCAGAAAGCAGGAUGAACUUGAAUCAAAAAUCAACCCCUAUUUAUUUUCAAUUUCUAAUGAAGAAGGGAAGAUAAGGGGCAAAACGUUUUUGCCCUUAUU
Molecule: long non-coding RNA, 4548 nt
Filed under: Capsicum annuum
Lineage: Eukaryota; Viridiplantae; Streptophyta; Magnoliopsida; Solanales; Solanaceae
Description: long non-coding RNA (CANN_LNC002836)
Source: RNAcentral